This 1074-nucleotide long non-coding RNA is filed under the name Heterocephalus glaber (naked mole-rat). RNAcentral describes it as "lncRNA (ENSHGLG00100038627.1)". The record is from RNAcentral. Lineage: Eukaryota; Metazoa; Chordata; Mammalia; Rodentia; Bathyergidae.
GGAGCAGGUGGAAGCCCCCCCCCCUCCACUGCCUUCCGCACCCUGCCGUGCCCUGCAUGUGACCGCACGCUGCCAUCAGUGCCCGCUCGUGUGCCCAGUGUGUGUGCACGCGUUUACCUGUGCACACGUGUGUACAUGUGCACGCGUGUGUGUGAAGUCGCCCCUCUCCACUGGCUGCGCUACCCCCUCCAGACCAGCCCCCUUCUGAGGACUCAGGCUCCUGUGCCUGUGAGCUCAGGGUCCUCAGGGUCCUCAGGUCCCCGCAGGCCCGCAAAGUGCUCAUCACUUGGAGAGAGGAUGCUGCGGAGCUGGCAGUUGUGCCCCCUCCUGUGCCCAACAGGUCGCGUCUCACUUGUGAAUGCCUUGAAGGAAUGGAAACGCUGCCCAUUGGAUUCACACAAUCAUGGGAGACAAGAACCCGGGCUCACACUGCAGAGGCAUCCAGGAAAGGCCUGAGUGAUUCCCAGGGAACAACCCUGUCACCGUGAUGUUGAGAUCCCAUGUAAGCUGCACUGUGCUGGGUCAGAUCUGGUGGAAACCUUGACACAGAUGGAUAUCAAAUCACCACCACCAGUUUUGAGCAACUGAAUUCAGCUUUUUCCAGGAGAUAAAUAAAAUUCAAGUUCCCAAAUUAUGAAAUUCCAAGUUAGGAACCAGAUGAUGCUAUUUCACAGACUCAGAUCAGACUAUUUCUAAUUGCAUUAUUCAUGUCUCGUUCAUGAGGAAAGCUCAUUAUCUACAGCAUGGCUAGAAAAAUCAACGCCUGAUAACUAAGCCAUUAUUUCUUGUGAGAAAUUGAACGUCAAAUCUUGACACCCAAAAGACUGAAACAAAAGCUUCUCAGACUCUCCAGCUUACUGUACCUGUGCCCUCAAAAGAACGGAUGAAUUUGACUCCAGUUUCCUUCUGAAACAUUCUUCUGCCAACUCUGUUUGAUGUGUGCACAAACUUGCUAAGGUCCUGUGAUGAAACUUGGGGUUUGGAGUAAAUACGUAGUAGUUAAAACACAGUAAGUCACUGUUAAUGUGGAGCAUCUGUUUCUUUUUUUUAUUUUUUAUUUUUUUGGUACUGGGG